This is a long non-coding RNA of Columba livia (rock pigeon), 4267 nucleotides long. RefSeq lists it as uncharacterized. The record is from RefSeq and is a predicted model, not a curated record. NCBI's taxonomy places the organism in Eukaryota, Metazoa, Chordata, Aves, Columbiformes, Columbidae. The transcript has 3 exons.
GGCCAGCUCCUGAGGUUGCUAUGAUGCCUGAACCUGUGUUUAUGGCUGUUGCUGUUCCUUGUCCGGAGUGGUCUUCCAGAUAAGGGAAUCCUCCAAGCUUUCUUAGAAACUGAUCAAUAACAAGGAGCCUAUUGGACCCUUCUUCUGAACACUUCAACACUUGUAGGAGCCAUCACACCAUUGUGAAGCACAGGGAAUGUCUUUGCCUUAACAGACCCUGCUUUGCAAAGCCACAAGCUGUCUUGGCCCCUUCAGACAUGGAACUCGCUCAUGUUCAUUUGACUUUCUAUCAGGAUCUGGAAAUCUUUUCAGAACCACCAGGCUCCUCACUGGUAAGUCUGGCCUCCUUUGCUGUGUCACAGUUACAGAGCAAACUGGAUCCAUCUCCCAGAUUAGCUGUUGCAUCUUCUCCAUUCACCAGUCCCUCCCGGUCUUUGUCUUAUUUGCCAGCUCCAUCAGCAGGUAACGGUUGUUAAAGAGUGAAGGGCCAAGAACCUAGCUCAUGAGACUGGUUGAUGCCCCAAAGACAGUUUGAUUUUAGGUCCUAUCAGUUGGUAAAAUAGUCCAACAGUACAAUUUACAUGCGCACCGUUACCUUUACUAAUGAAACUUGUACAUGCUCCAAUAUUAUAUAAUUAUUUGGAUAAGGUCUGGUUUUAAUAAGUUCAUGAUAAUUUCAAUAUAAUUCUAUUUUUUCCCCUUUAAUUCUUAGUAGAGUCCCCAAAUAACCAUUCUGUUAUUUUGUUCAGAUUGACGUCAGGCUCAUAGGCCUAUAUUUAUUCAUGUCAUCUUAGUUACUCUCUUUAAGUGCUGGCACAACAUUAUCUUUCCUUCACAUCUCUAACUUCUCUAGUGUUCCAAGACUUAUUCAAAAUCAGCAGCAGGGGUUCAGUGAACAUCUUUGCCUCUUGGAUUAAAAUUAUUCAAGAACUGCCAAUUAAGCAUUUCUACAUUCAGAAAUUAUUGCUAUAAAAGAAAGGGUUGUUUUUCUUACAUAAGAUGCAAUACAUUAUCUGACUUUUCCCAAAAUACAAGUGGGAAAUAUUUACUCAACAUUUUUACCUCUUUGGGUCUAUUGUUGGCAGUCUUAGCAUGUCCGUUUAGAAGCAAUGUGUUACCUUUGUGAUGACCCUAUUUGUAGCUAACAUACUUUUAAAACUCCUGCUGACCAUAGAUGUUUGCUUGUGUCCUUUUCUUACCAUACUGCUAUAAUUUACAGCCUGUAAUUCACAUUCAUUAACACUCGUACUCUUUUUUUUAAUUAGUGACUUCUCUGGACGAAAAUCUUUAUUAUGGGUUCUCAACUUCCUAGACACCAAAAGACCCACCUCAGAGAGACCUCAUAUGAAUAGCCAUCAAUAAAAAAAGCUUUGACCAAGCUCAAGCCCUAUCAGACACCAAUAGCUACUUAGUGGUGAAAGAAGUUCUUUACCAACCAGGAUACAUCAGCCAUCACUUAUCUGCUAUCAUUCAGCAGUUGUCAGUCAUCUGCGUUUCUGUCCUUAAAUUCUUCCUCGUAAUAUUUUCAGUUUUCUGAAGCCAGGCUUUUCAAAAUACCUAAUCCUGGCAGAGGCCAUAUGAUGAUGAUCCCAAUAAACAUGAUCCAACCAUGAUGGCUUGUAUCUGUGCAGCUACUACUUUGCACUCUCUGAUCUGCUAGUAAGCUGUAAAGAAAAAAAUGUUCAGAUGGUAUGUUACACACCAGAUUUUACACAAUACAUAUAAUACACUGCAUGUAUUAAAGUCAUGCUAUGUCUUCUGUAUGUCUGGACAUGCCAUAAAUGUGUUGAUAGAUGCAAUGGGAGGUAUCUUGUACUACACGGGCUGUAGCGCCCAUGCCAAUGCAGUUUUUUGUCCCUAUGCAUCAUAAUCCAGGGAGCUGAACUCAUUCUUUCCUGUUGGCAUUGAAGUUAAUACUGGUGGUACCCAUCUCAAACACCAUUUCUGAGGACACUAAUCCAUAACAAUAUAAGAAAAUUUGUUCCAGAGUUGCUAAAAACUUGAAAGCAGAUCAGAACACUUUUCACAAACAGUGCAAGUCCUCCUUGGCUUUUGCACAGCUGAUCCUCCUGAAAUACAUAAUAAAGAUUGAUUUAAACAUUCCAGCCAUGGGAAUCUGCCUUCCAGAUUUCAGCUGUAGCAACCAGGUCAAGCUUAUGUUUCUAAAGGAGCAAAAAUUGUUCCCAAUUUGCUAUACAAGCAAUUACAGAAUGUUUUCUCUUGGUCUAUAAGGAUGUUUCUCCUGAACUUUCUGAUUUUGUGCUGGAAGAAUGGUCAAGUGUUCUCUUGCUUGUCACCUCUUCGCUCCAGUAUGGCAGGAAGGUCAGUUCCUUCCUGCGAUGGAGGCUUCUCAGCCCACUGCAGCCCCUGCACCAGAGAAUAGAACCAGCCGAACCACAAUCGAAUGACAGCUGCUCUUGGUAUUUUAAAAUGGCCAGUGGUAAUUUUACUUAUGAAGUAAAGUUUCUAGCUGUUUCUCACGUAGCACAGGAGACAGCCUGUCUCAGUGCAGAUUGAAUUAUUAUAAUGAGGCAAUCAUCCUGUUACUGCCAAUCUACCCAUACUCUGAUGGGGUUGUGCCAAGUGAUAAACAGAGACAAUAGCAAAUGCAGCUACAAUAUUGGCUGGCUUCCUUCAAAAAGUCCCCUCAGGUCUUUACAGAGACAUGGAAAGAGAGUCUAGGUUGGGGAAUUUUUCUGUCAUAAUUAGGGUGAGCAUAAAGAAGUGAAACAUGAAGUCAUUGUUAUUUAAAUGCCUAAUUCAUUCGUUAUGUUUAUUAAGAUACUCUGGCUGGUUUUUAUACUGAUUUAACAGAAAUGUGUCAUUUAUUGAAAUUCCCACCUUUAUUUUCUUGUUGAUAUUCAUUUUUGGAUGAAAAACAUGGAAAUACUAAGUUAACCCAAAACAAACUUGUCAUCUAUUAGCAAAGGCUUAUUCCACCUUUUGUAUGUCUUUGUUGGAUGCUAAUGGUGAGACUGAGACCAGUCAUCUUAAAAAUCAUUCUCCAAAAUGAAACCAAGUUGUACUUGGGGCUGAUGGCUUGCUGUGACCACAGAGGUGGAGGUUAUUGAUGCAAGUAGACAACCAAGGCUCAGAUAAACUCAGGGCAGGAUUAAUCUCACAUGGCUUUAGGAGGCUAGAAGGAAGAUUUUGUCUUCAGUGGAGAAGAACAGGUUUUGCCAGGGCUUCAACUUUCCUUUCCUAUGGUAGGUGACCACACAGAUGUCCACAUAGGCUUCAGUUUUAAUGAACCACCAUUACUCAUCCUCAGCAACCCCAAACUGUGAGCAGCACUGGUCUCCUCAGCAGGACCGCCCAAGGAGCGGAGUCCUGUGCUGGGUGAGUCUUGCAGAGUGCAGGUUGAAGCCAGACCAUCAUUUUGCAUUCAAUGUGUGGUGAUUUCAUCAAUUUCUUUAGAUUUCAGAGUUUGAAAAGGAACAAUGCAAUUUUCACAGCUCUUCCUUUCUGACUGUCCUGCCAGCCUUGGAAUGCUCUUCAGCCAUUUGGGAAGGUAUUAUACUUGCAAAUCCAUUUAUUACUUUGACUUUGGCAUUCUCAGUAGAGCCUUGGCUGUACAUCUGAACUAUUACCCUAGCUCAUUUUACCUUCUUGUAAACUUCGCUGAAAUGUGAAGUGUUGGAUGGGUCCUGUGUAAAGCAUAUUGUCCUAUUAAAACACAUUUAAAGAGUCUUGUAAACCCUGGAGAUUAACCUCAAUGUUUAUGGAGAGUUAUAGAUGCUAAUUCUUGCAUAUUUGUCAUUCCAGAGCAUGGCCUGGUGGCAAACAUUCUUGCUACACCACAGCAUUUACGUCAAUGGGAUUUGUCCAUGCCUUGACUCCUUAGGACAGAGAAAAGAAAUGGUGGGAAAGUGGGGAAUAUGGGCAUUUGCCAUCCUGGACUACAUUAGCUGGUCAUAAAAUCUUAUAGCUAUCUCAUAGAAGGAGGGAAACAGACUGGGAAACAGCAGGAGGACCUUCCCCAGAGGACAGUUUCGGUUAAGACCAUAUUGAUAAGAGGUGGUCUUGUCCUGUUGGAAAGAUAAUAUUCUCUUUCAUUUUUUGUUAAUGUUCCUGUGAUGGGGCACAUCAGUGUAUGUUCUCCUCUCCUUUCUGUCCUGCCACACACACUGAGUUGGCAGCAGCAGCCCCACAAACUUUGAGCUUCCUCACCAGCUGUAGGCAUCUUAAUCUGUCCACCAUUCAUCAGUUUCUUCUCUUCUGGAUUCAGCAGAUUUUCUGUUUCAUGGUAGAAAAAUAAAUAAAAAAA